RNAcentral lists this transfer RNA (73 nucleotides) under Sus scrofa (pig). It matches the Rfam family "tRNA". From Rfam's summary of the family: Transfer RNA (tRNA) molecules are approximately 80 nucleotides in length. The record is from Rfam by way of RNAcentral. Lineage: Eukaryota; Metazoa; Chordata; Mammalia; Artiodactyla; Suidae.
UCCCUGGUUGCCUAGUGGUUAAGGAUCCAGAAUUGUUACUGCUACGGCUCAGGUUCAAUCCCUGGCCAGGGAA